UACGUAGGGUGCGAGCGUUGUCCGGAAUUACUGGGCGUAAAGAGCUCGUAGGUGGUUUGUCGCGUUGUUCGUGAAAACUCACAGCUUAACUGUGGGCGUGCGGGCGAUACGGGCAGACUGGAGUACUGCAGGGGAGACUGGAAUUCCUGGUGCAGCGGUGGAAUGCGCAGAUAUCAGGAGGAACACCGGUGGCGAAGGCGGGUCUCUGGGCAGUAACUGACGCUGAGGAGCGAAAGCGUGGGGAGCAAACAGG
Molecule: ribosomal RNA, 253 nt
Filed under: uncultured bacterium
Lineage: Bacteria
Description: partial 16S ribosomal RNA
Rfam family: Bacterial small subunit ribosomal RNA
Source: RNAcentral